RNAcentral lists this ribosomal RNA (253 nucleotides) under uncultured bacterium. Its description in RNAcentral is "partial 16S ribosomal RNA". It matches the Rfam family "Bacterial small subunit ribosomal RNA", at positions 524 to 776 of the family's 1533-position model. The record is from RNAcentral.
GACGAACCGUCCAAACGUUAUUCGGAAUCACUGGGCUUAAAGGGUGCGUAGGCGGCGCGGAAAGUUGGGUGUGAAAUCCCUCGGCUCAACCGAGGAACUGCGCCCAAAACUACCGUGCUCGAGGGAGAUAGAGGUGAGCGGAACUUAGGGUGGAGCGGUGAAAUGCGUUGAUAUCCUAAGGAACACCGGUGGCGAAAGCGGCUCACUGGAUCUCUUCUGACGCUGAGGCACGAAAGCUAGGGUAGCGAACGGG